RNAcentral lists this ribosomal RNA (497 nucleotides) under uncultured bacterium. RNAcentral's name for it is "partial 16S ribosomal RNA". It matches the Rfam family "Bacterial small subunit ribosomal RNA", at positions 28 to 507 of the family's 1533-position model. The record is from RNAcentral.
GAUGAACGCUGGCGGCGUGCCUAAUACAUGCAAGUCGAGCGAACAGACGAGGAGCUUUCUCCUCUGAGGUUAGCGGCGGACGGGUGAGUAACACGUGGUUAACCUCCUUAUACGACUUGGUUAACUUCGGGAAACAGGAGCUACUACUGGAUAAUAUAUUGAACCGCAUGGUUCAUUAGUGAAAGACGGUUUUGCUGUCACUUAUAGAUGGAUCCGCGCCGCAUUAGCUAGUUGGUAAGGUAACGGCUUACCAAGGCAGCGAGGCGUAGCCGACCUGAGAGGGUGAGCGGCCACACUGGAACUGAGAGACGGACCAGACACAUACGGAAGGCAGCAGUAGGGAAUCUUCCGCGAAGGGCGGAAGCCAGACGGAGGAACGCCGCGUGAGUGAUGAAGGGCUUCGGAUGGGAUAACUCUGUUAUUAGGGAAGAACAAAUGCGUAAGUAAUUAGGCACUGCUUGACGGUACCUAGGCAGAGAGGCGCGGCUAACUUCGUG